RNAcentral lists this long non-coding RNA (1982 nucleotides) under Homo sapiens (human). RNAcentral describes it as "HSALNT0202602". Lineage: Eukaryota; Metazoa; Chordata; Mammalia; Primates; Hominidae. The record is from RNAcentral.
AGAAAAUGUUUCGAUAUGCUGACAAAUAACUAAGAACGCUGACAUAUUUGGGUCCAAACUGAAAGAAAGAAUGGGUUCUGCUGCUGCAGUUCAUCUCCAGCAAUAACACAGAACAAUGGUGCGCCGCAGUUCAUCUCUAGCAAUAACACAGAACAAUGGCGAGUACAAGCAAUGCUAACUCUGGAACAGAACUGGCAGUGAUCGGAUAAUCGGCUCUCUUCUCUGAAGCUAGAAUAUCAGGUCCUGUUGGUUGUCCCACAGAAAGCCAAUUAUUGAGAGAAUGAGUAUUGCCAGAGAAGAAGGCUUUAUUCGGGUGCUCCAGUUGAGAAGAUGGGAGUAUCACUACAACUUUCAUCAACCAGUCAUCAACAUUGAAACCGUAAGCAUUGCCCUCCGUUCCUGUUUCGUCAAUCUGUUUCCCUGGUAUGACUCUAAUGUAUGAGACCUCCAAGGUUCAACUGUUUGUGGAUGGGAAGAGAAAAAGCAGAUUUUUGUCUGCUCCCAGUGUUCUCUGAAAUAUGUGACAAGCCCUGCAGGAGAUAACAUUUUGGAUGCCAAACUCUCAUUACCACAUUAAUUGCCUCUGUCAUGACAGUUUGGGCCGGAGCAAAUGGCUGGGAACCUGCUGUGCUCCUCAAGAGAGCAACACAGGCCAAGGGAAAGUGGGUCUGAAGUUUCCCAAGCAGUCGGCUGAAAGGUGCUGUUAUCAGAGCAUAGUCUGGAUUUGUCUUUACGUCUUGAGUCACUGUUAAAUUGGUGGGGGAGUGGCUCUCAAAAAUCUUUGUUCCUAAAACUUAUGAAAGAUAUUCAUGUAAACAAGUAAAAAUCGGGUUAAAUUCUGUUUUAUCAGCAGGACAUUUUCACCAUAAGUGAUUGUCCAAUUGACUGUCAAAGCAACAAAAGGUGAAGGAGGUGAGUGUAUAGUCUAAAGAUAAAAGCUCCAAAUGGGCUUUCAGUGUCCCUUCAUCUCCAAGCUGAAUGAACAGGAUGUAAUCACAGCAGCGCAUGAGAGGGCAAUUUGAACAGAGUGGAUACUAAGUAACAUUUGAAGUCAAAGCAAAAUCAAAAGAAAAUUCUCUUAAUACUCCCUCCUCCCAAUAUAAUUAACGUUAAAGUAUUCUUUUUAAUUAACAUAAUUAGAGGCUUAAUUAUUGAAAGUCGGGUUAAAGAUGAAAAGUAUCAUAUAAUUAAAAUAAUUAUUUUUCUUUAACCUCCAAAGGAAAACAAAGCAGUUUUUCUCUCAUAGUCAUUUAAACUUCAGUAAUAUUUCUUAUAUAAAAGUAGUUAUAAGAUUUAAUACAGACAUUGGUAAAGGAGUGGGGUGAAUAGAGUUUGUGAAGACUCUUACUGUACACAACGAGAAGAUGUUUUUAAUCUCUCUUUGGUCACAAAGGAGUUCAAUAAUUUAGGUUUUAAUGAUAGUACUAUUGUCAUGCACAGAACAUGUCAAAAUAAAUUGGUACAAUCUUUUCAUAAAGAGAUUUAAAAAUAAAGGUUCUAAAAAAUUCAAAAUACAGAAUAAAAACUAUGAACAUACAUGCAUCACAGCCUUACUCGUAAUAUAGAAAUUCUGGUAAAAAAUAUUGCACAUUAUUGGAAUAAAGACUAUGCUACUGUAAUAACAAUGCCCUAAAUACAGCUUGGAUAAGAGAGAAGUUUAUUCAUGUCUUACACAAGAGUCUGGUUAAUAACUUAGACAAUUUUGUUCAUAAGAACAGAAAGUACUGUUCUUAAUAGACAGUUAUGUUCUAUAAGAUUCAGAAACUUAGGUUGUUUUAAUUUUCCUCCUCUGCUGCCUCCAUGUGUAAUUUCUCUCUCUAGAUAGUCAAAGCUGGGUCACUACCACCUCUGGCAUUCAGCCUGAGGAAAGAGGAAGGAGCAUGAGCAAAGAUUGCUUUUAAGAUGCAGGUUUGGGCUGGUCGCAGUGGCUCACACCUGUAAUCCCAGCACUUUGGGAGGCCAAGGUGGGUGGAUCACCUGAG